This 970-nucleotide ribosomal RNA is filed under the name Paphia euglypta. Its description in RNAcentral is "eukaryotic LSU rRNA". It matches the Rfam family "Eukaryotic large subunit ribosomal RNA", at positions 91 to 961 of the family's 3401-position model. Lineage: Eukaryota; Metazoa; Mollusca; Bivalvia; Venerida; Veneridae. The record is from RNAcentral.
CAGCGAAGCGGGAAGAGCCCAAGAGCCCAGCAUCAAAUAUCCCGUCCGUUUCAGCGGUGAUAUAUGUUGUGUAUAGGCGGUCGAUUGUUGCCGGCGUCGAGCGUCGGCCUUAUCCAGAGCGAGUGUCGGCGCGAGACCGGCGGCUUCGAGUUCCUCGGAGUCGGGUUGUUUGAGAAUGUAGCCCAAAGCGGGUGGUAAACUCCCUCUAAGACUGAAUACUAGCACCGAUAGCGGUCAAGUACCGUGCGGGAAAGCUGAAAAGAACUGAUGAGAUAGUUCAAGAGUACGUGAAACCGCAUAGAGUCAAACAGGUGGAUCCGCGGAGUCGACGCGGUGAAUUCAGCCCGGCCUAUGGCGGCCCGUCGGAGUGCAGGGGAUGCCUUAGCGGGUCUCCGCCCCGGCGUACGGCUCGCCGCUCUGGUCGCGUGCACUUUCUCCGCCGUCGAGCACCACAUUCGGGGACGAAUGUUAUAGGUUGCCGUAGUGGACUCGCCGCGUGAUCGAGGACGCUUGCCGCGUCAGCCGGUCUCGGACAGUUCUGGGGUUCUCGACUUCGGACGCGCUGCUCCGCAUGGCGCUGAGACCGUACUCCGGACACGGGCCCGUCCGCCAUGGACGCCUAAGGGUCAGUGGCGAAUCGGUCGUCUUGAAAUUCGGACCAAGGAGUCUAACAUGUGCGCGAGUCAUGGGGGUCAGUACGAAACCCAAAGGCACAAUGAAAAAGAAGAAUCCCCAGGAGUGCCCAGGCAGGAUCGCUGGGCCUCGGUCGGGGGCGUACUGCCUGCCCGUCUCGGCGGCGUCGUACGCGAGGCGGAGCAAGUGCGCACACGUUGGGACCCGAAAGAUGGAGAACUAUGUCUGAGUAGGGCGAAGUCAGAGGAAACUCUGAUGGAGGCCCGCAGCAAAUCUGAUCGUCAAAUUGGAUACAGGGGCGAAAGACUUAUCGAACCAUCUAGUAGCUGGCUCCCUC